RNAcentral lists this transfer RNA (70 nucleotides) under Geukensia demissa (ribbed mussel). RNAcentral's name for it is "tRNA-Asn". It matches the Rfam family "tRNA". From Rfam's summary of the family: Transfer RNA (tRNA) molecules are approximately 80 nucleotides in length. Their secondary structure includes four short double-helical elements and three loops (D, anti-codon, and T loops). Further hydrogen bonds mediate the characteristic L-shaped molecular structure. tRNAs have two regions of fundamental functional importance: the anti-codon, which is responsible for specific mRNA codon recognition, and the 3' end, to which the tRNAs corresponding amino acid is attached (by aminoacyl-tRNA synthetases). tRNAs cope with the degeneracy of the genetic code in two manners: having more than one tRNA (with a specific anti-codon) for a particular amino acid; and 'wobble' base-pairing, i.e. permitting non-standard base-pairing at the 3rd anti-codon position. The record is from RNAcentral. Lineage: Eukaryota; Metazoa; Mollusca; Bivalvia; Mytilida; Mytilidae.
AAACUAGUAGUUUAAUGAAGGUAAAACGUUUGAUUGUUAAUUAAAAGAAAAAUACCAAGUUUCUAGUUUU